Molecule: long non-coding RNA, 667 nt
Filed under: Capsella rubella
Lineage: Eukaryota; Viridiplantae; Streptophyta; Magnoliopsida; Brassicales; Brassicaceae
Description: long non-coding RNA (CRUB_LNC002163)
Source: RNAcentral
UUUUCUUUUUUUUGACUGGUUCCAGUUGAACUUUCUGCUAUUGUAACUGAGGACAUGUUUGGAUUUGCAUAUCCAAGAGCUGCUCCGAUUUAAUUAUGUUGUAUUGUUUUUAAUAAAUUUCGCGAGAAAACUCUUCCGGUGUUCCACAAAAAAAAAACAAAAAAAAAACCUUUGGCAUAAAAUAUAAUUUUGGUGUCAUCGUCCACUUUAGUAGUGAUCUUCAGUUCUAUAUCCACUAUGGAAUGUGAAUAUGAUGCUCAACACAAAAUUAUUAAGCAAUCAUAUACGUACCACCAUGAUAUAUCUAUAAUACAUUUAUUAAUAUAUGUAUAGCUCGUAACCAAUAUUCUAAUAUAUAUUUUGUAAAUUUUAUUUUCCAAAAAAGUUGAAAAUCGUUAGACAUAACAUUUUGGGAAUUUUGUUUGCUCUGCCAUUUAUGAAACUUAAAUUUGUUUAAGUGUCAUCAACCAAAACAUCUUUCAAAACAUGCCACAAAGGAGGAAGCUUGGACGAUUUUUCCCUUGUGCAUUGUUGAGUGAGCAAUUAAAGAGAGCAUUAAAUGGAAGAAUUAAAGCAAAAACCAGAUAUAAGAUGUGUUAAUAGAAGACAAAUAACCUAAAGAUUUUAUAUGAGUUGUCCAUCAAAUAAAUAAGCUUGGAUGUGUAGG